This 145-nucleotide microRNA precursor is filed under the name Choloepus hoffmanni (Hoffmann's two-fingered sloth). RNAcentral describes it as "miRNA (ENSCHOG00000014623.1)". The stretch from base 47 to 98 matches the Rfam family "mir-1302 microRNA precursor family". The record is from RNAcentral. Lineage: Eukaryota; Metazoa; Chordata; Mammalia; Pilosa; Megalonychidae.
CAGAUACCCAGUUAAAUUUGAAUUUCAGACAAACAAUGAAAAAAUAAUUUUAGUAUAAGUGUGUCCCACUCAAUAUUUGGGACAUGCUUAUGCUAAAAUAUUAUGUGUUGUUUAUCUGAAAUUCAGAUUUAACUGGGCAUACUGU